This 38-nucleotide ribosomal RNA is filed under the name Leptolejeunea astroidea. Its description in RNAcentral is "partial 5.8S ribosomal RNA". The record is from RNAcentral. Lineage: Eukaryota; Viridiplantae; Streptophyta; Jungermanniopsida; Porellales; Lejeuneaceae.
AUGACUCUCAGCAACGGAUAUCUUGGCUCUUGCAACGA